Long non-coding RNA from Sorghum bicolor (sorghum), 3986 nucleotides. RefSeq lists it as uncharacterized. The transcript is spliced from 3 exons. The record is from RefSeq and is a predicted model, not a curated record. Lineage: Eukaryota; Viridiplantae; Streptophyta; Magnoliopsida; Poales; Poaceae.
CUUUUCUCAGGCCCAUAACAGCAUCUCCGCCUCGGUGGCUGCUCUCGGUCUCGGUGCUCCCAGCCUCCCAGGGCGGCGGCCUCGUCGUCGUCGAGCAGCACCGAAGAAGUGAGGCCACCUCGCCUGGGAACCCUAACCUCCCAUUCCCCAAUCAACGCCCUUCCCCAUCUCACCCGCCUCCCGCGGUCUCGACGGGAAGCAGUGGAGUGGCGACCCGCCGCAGCCGGCAUACCGCGGAAGCAAGGAGUCAGAGCGGCAGCGGCGGCGCCGGCGCCGGCGAGCAGAGCAAAGAACCGAGCAGGGCAGCAGAGAUUGGUUGCAGACUUACGAAAUGACGAAGAAACAGAAGACAAUGGGUUUGAAGUCUUUGUGGGGAAGGUCUGGAACGGCGCAGAAGACUGCUUCAACCUCGGUGCCGAAACCUCGGUCGAUUUUGCUUCAGAGCUUGAGGAUCAUUUUGCGCCAAAGGGUUGGCUUUCCGGAGACAUGAGAAAAUCAAAGACUCCCUGAACCAAGGGAAUUUUCAUUGGCUCUUGAAAUGGCUGGCAGGUAAUUUGGAUGGAACGAACAAGGCGGUUCUGCAGAAUGUUCUGAACGAUCCUGCGAUGACUUGUCCGAAAAUGAUCAAAGGUCUUGUUAAUGUUUGUGCCAGAGAAACUACUAGACUUAUCAAGCAAGACCUUGGGGAGGAAAAUUUUGCAAUACUAGCUUGUUUGUUUACUGAUGCUAGCCAUAAUGAACAGUUGGUUGUUUGCUUGCGGUAUGUCGACAAGAAAGGAAGAGUAGUUGAGAGGUUUCUUGGGGUUGUACGUGUUGAGAACCGGAAGCCCUCAACAAUUAAAGCUGCAAUUGAAUCCUUGCUCAGGGAUCACUCUUUGAGCUGGUCUAGGGUCCGAGGACAGGGGUAUGAUGGAGCAGGCAAUAUGAGAGCCCACGUGAAGGGUCUAAAGAAAAUAAUCAUGGAUGAGUCUUCUUCCGCUCACUAUGUCCAUUGCUUUGCGUAGGAACUGCACUUGGCACUUGUUCCUGCUCUUAAGGAGAAUGGUGCUUGUGCUGAUUUCUUUCAGCAACUUGGUUUUUUGGUGAGCUUUCUUGAAAUGUCCUGCAGAAAAGCUCAAAUGCUUCAAAUACCUGAAGCUCAAAAGGUUCUAGAAGGUUUGAAUCAAGCGAAGUUCUCUAGUAAAAGGGAUGAUCCCAGCCAGGGAUUUCAUACUGUAUCCCACCAUUUGAAGCGUUCUCAUCAUGAUUGGAGGAGACCAUACUCACGGUGCAGAGGCUGUCAAUGCUCUAAAAAUAUUGAUAUAUUUUGAGUCAUUUGAGUUUGUUUUCAUGACACACAUGUUGAUGGACGUAUUGGGAUGCACAUCUAUCUUAAAUAGAUGUUUACAAAUGAGAGACAGUUUUAUGGUCAAUGGCAUUGAAAUCAUUGAUAUUACAAAGUGUCGGUUAGACAAAAUGCUGGGGGAUGAUAAAUGGGAAAAAAAUCUUAAAGAUGUCACUACUUUUUGUGCGAAGCAUGACAUCAAAGUCCCUAGCAUGGAUGAUAUUUAUAAGCCAGUUUUAAACCAAAGGGGUUCUUGAGAAAAGUCAUGAAUCUCCAUCAUUACUGUGUUGAAAUUUUUGCAAGCAUCCUUGACAGAGCAGUAGAGCACUUCAAGAGUUAAAUGACAGGUUUGAUGAGAUGAACACAGAUUUUCUUCUUAACAUGGCAUCACUCGAUCCAGCUAGUUCAUUUUACCCAUAUAACAAGGACAAGUUACUUAAACUUGCUAGGUGUUAUCCCAAGGACUUCUCAAGCACAGAUUUGUUGCAUCUUCCAAACCAUCUUACACGGUUUAUUGCUGAUAUGUAUGAGAAUGAAAGGUUUAGAAAAGUGAAAAGUAGUUGAGCUUUUUGUUAUGCUUGUUAAAACCAAGAGCAGCCUCAAAUAUCCUAUUGUUUACAAGCUUCUUAAAUUGGUGCUGGUUCUUCCCAUAGCAACUGCUAGCAUUGAAAGGGUAUUUUCUGCUACGGAUCUUGUUGAGAAUAAGCUGACAAAUAGAGUGGGUGAACAAUUAUUGAAUGAUUGCCUGGUUAUGUUCAUUGAGAGGGAGGUUUUCAUGCAAGUUAAGGAUGAGGCCUUGGCAUCUUGUUUCCAAGCCAUAGUAGGAGCAUAAAAUCACAAGGAGCGUUGGAUAGAGCUGGAGCUAAUGAUGAGUAAUUCAUUAUGGACUGGGCUGCAAGAUGGAGCUGUUAUGGGUUUUAGUAUGGUUGAAGGAAAUCCGUAACAAAGCAAGUGACAUGACUUGCUGACUAUUAUUGAUGUCUUGAUGAGAGGAGCCCUUGCCAUAUUAUGUAUGAAGUGUUGCUUUGCUGCAUGAACUACUAUGGGGCUCCUUGCCGAGGAGCAGAGCAAGCUUGACUUGACCAUUGCUCUUUACUCCAGAUAACGUACUUGUCAAGGUAUCUUCAGACUUGUAUUAAACGCAGGUUGGACUGCAACAGUCAUGGCCAGAUGAUGGGAACGCCUACAAUGUCUCAUGACGGUCUCAUGAAAACUUACUGAUGCAACAUUGUUUUCUGAUGCUGAGCGCCAAUAGUGUCUGUUUGGAAGAUUUGUCCACCGAUACCAUAAUGCAGAAAUGAUGUUACUUUUGGACGGUGGUCCUUUAAUCAUUUACAUUGUCAAGUCAGUAUCUUUUCUGAACAUCAAUAGUAGCUUUUGGAUCGCUGUGCUGGUUUGGCAGGCAAAAUUAUCAACAUCCUCUUGCUUUUGGUGAGGGUCUGAGUCUGAGAAGCACAUUGACCUGUCAUUGGCAAGCACAUUCAGUGCCCCCCCUUGUUAGGGUGAAUGAUCCAGAAUCGGCAAGUUGGGCGGAGGCUGUGCUGUUGUUGAGGAAGAAGAUGAGGAAGGACUGAAGAUAAGAUAAAAAGCGCGACUACUAGUUGCUUAACGGUGUGUGUAGCCAUCUACUCGUCUUCAGAUUUGAGUGGCAGGUGUAGCCCAGCCCAAGAUCUGCUUGGGUUUCAGAGUUUCAGCAGGCUGUCAUUCAGAUGGAUGCUUUGUUCAUUUCGCUCUAUGUACGCUAGCUCAAGUUUUGGUAUCUCUGGAGCUGUUCCUUGGAAGUUGGAAUGUAUUUGCACUAUGCUGUAUAAUUUUUUUUUUAGUACAGUUCAAGUCUAGCAUGCUAUAUAUAUUUUGUUAAAAGUGGUGAUAAAUUAAAUAUUGGCAGGUUGACUUCAGGUUCAGACACCAGUGAUGCAUCCAUGUCUGCCACUUCGAUACCAUCUUAACAAAAGCAUUACACAAAUUACUGCUCCCAUCAUCUUGUUGCCUGCUAUUUUUUCACGGCCUCAUGAUUGGUGCCCAUUUGCAUUACCUAUCUCAGCUCCUAUUUUUGAACUACCAAGUGAACGUCCUGACCAAUGAUUGAUGCUCUGUUCAGUUUACCGUGCUGUAUAAAAACAAAAUUACUGGUCCAUUCAUGCAGUGUUCAUGCACUUUUCUGAUCGGAUGUGGAGACCAGAAUAAUACAUAUGUUAUUCGAGGAGCACCGCUGCACCGCACUUUGCUGCCACCGUUUUGCCAAGUUGCCGCGGCGGCGAGUGCUGCCGGAGCACGCAUCGUUUUCCAACAGGGGAAGUUCGGUGAGCCGGGGCUUGGUGUGAUCCUCAUGGACAUGGACGGCCUGCUCUUCACAAUCGUCCAUUGCCUCCUCUCUCUCUCCUUUUUCCUCUCUUCCAACUUUUCGGAUUGGACGCCACAGGCGAGAUUGUACCUCUCAUAAAACUGACGUCGCCUUCGGCAUCGCCUUUCCUUCUUUUUUCUUUCCCCACUUUGCGCGCGCGCGGGUGCGACAACUAACAGCAAUUGAGAAAUGCUUAUCUUUCUAGGGUUCUUGAGAAAAAGGUAGGAGGAGAGUUUUGUCUUGCUCUCCCAACUAGCCCCCAUGCAACAUCCACAGGAGACCUUUACAUGGAAUUAACAAAUCUUGAGAGGGGUUUCA